Molecule: ribosomal RNA, 253 nt
Filed under: uncultured bacterium
Lineage: Bacteria
Description: partial 16S ribosomal RNA
Rfam family: Bacterial small subunit ribosomal RNA
Source: RNAcentral
UACGGGGGGGGCAAGCGUUGUUCGGAAUUACUGUGCGUAAAGGGCUCGUAGGCGGCCAACUAAGUCAGACGUGAAAUCCCUCGGCUUAACCGGGGAACUGCAUCUGAUACUGGAUGGCUUGAGUUCGGGAGAGGGAUGCGGAAUUCCAGGUGUAGCGGUGAAAUGCGUAGAUAUCUGGAGGAACACCGGUGGCGAAGGCGGCAUCCUGGACCGGCACUGACGCUGAGGAGCGAAAGCCAGGGGAGCAAACGGG